UACGGAGGGUGCAAGCGUUGCUCGGAAUCACUGGGCGUAAAGCGAGCGCAGGCGGCUAAAUAAGUCGGGUGUGAAAGCCCGGGGCUCAACCCCGGAACUGCAUCCGAAACUGUUUAGCUAGAGUACAGAAGAGGAAGGGGGAAUUCCAGGUGUAGAGGUGAAAUUCGUAGAUAUCUGGAGGAACACUCGUGGCGAAGGCGCCUUUCUGGUCUGGUACUGACGCUCAUGCUCGAAAGCGUGGGGAGCAAACAGG
This 253-nucleotide ribosomal RNA is filed under the name uncultured bacterium. Its description in RNAcentral is "partial 16S ribosomal RNA". It matches the Rfam family "Bacterial small subunit ribosomal RNA", at positions 524 to 776 of the family's 1533-position model. The record is from RNAcentral.